GAUUGCAAAGCUUGGUUUGAACAAUUGGUGAGGAGUUUUGAUGCAUGGUCGGUAUCUAUGGAAUCAAAAGAAGGAGAGGCUCGAAUUUGGCAAAUGUUGCCAGCGGGUGGCGGCCGGCCACCGUGUGCGGUAGUUCCGGUAGUGGCUCCGGUGAGCUUUCAACUUUCAAAGGUUUUCUCAUGAAUUUUGGGAAUUUUUGAAAUAUAGAUAUACUUUGGGUAGGAUUAUUUUUCUUAUUUCUCAGUC
RNAcentral lists this unclassified non-coding RNA (246 nucleotides) under Hevea brasiliensis (rubber tree). The record is from RNAcentral. Lineage: Eukaryota; Viridiplantae; Streptophyta; Magnoliopsida; Malpighiales; Euphorbiaceae.